GAAUGCUGACAUAAGUAACGAUAAAGCGGGUGAAAAGCCCGCUCGCCGGAAGACCAAGGGUUCCUGUCCAACGUUAAUCGGGGCAGGGUGAGUCGACCCCUAAGGCGAGGCCGAAAGGCGUAGUCGAUGGGAAACGGGUUAAUAUUCCCGUACUUGGUGUUACUGCGAAGGGGGGACGGAGAAGGCUAUGUUGGCCGGGCGACGGUUGUCCCGGUUUAAGCGUGUAGGUGUGUGUUCCAGGUAAAUCCGGUUCACUUUAACACUGAGGCGUGACGACGAGGCACUACGGUGCUGAAGCAACAAAUGCCCUGCUUCCAGGAAAAGCCUCUAAGCAUCAGGUAACAUCAAAUCGUACCCCAAACCGACACAGGUGGUCAGGUAGAGAAUACCAAGGCGCUUGAGAGAACUCGGGUGAAGGAACUAGGCAAAAUGGUGCCGUAACUUCGGGAGAAGGCACGCUGACACGUAGGUGAAGUGAUUUACUCAUGGAGCUGAAGUCAGUCGAAGAUACCAGCUGGCUGCAACUGUUUAUUAAAAACACAGCACUGUGCAAACACGAAAGUGGACGUAUACGGUGUGACGCCUGCCCGGUGCCGGAAGGUUAAUUGAUGGGGUCAGCGCAAGCGAAGCUCCUGAUCGAAGCCCCGGUAAACGGCGGCCGUAACUAUAACGGUCCUAAGGUAGCGAAAUUCCUUGUCGGGUAAGUUCCGACCUGCACGAAUGGCGUAAUGAUGGCCAGGCUGUCUCCACCCGAGACUCAGUGAAAUUGAACUCGCUGUGAAGAUGCAGUGUACCCGCGGCAAGACGGAAAGACCCCGUGAACCUUUACUAUAGCUUGACACUGAACAUUGAGCCUUGAUGUGUAGGAUAGGUGGGAGGCUUUGAAGUGUGGACGCCAGUCUGCAUGGAGCCGACCUUGAAAUACCACCCUUUAAUGUUUGAUGUUCUAACGUGGACCCGUUACCCGGGUUGCGGACAGUGUCUGGUGGGUAGUUUGACUGGGGCGGUCUCCUCCUAAAGAGUAACGGAGGAGCAC
Molecule: ribosomal RNA, 1036 nt
Filed under: Salmonella enterica
Lineage: Bacteria; Pseudomonadati; Pseudomonadota; Gammaproteobacteria; Enterobacterales; Enterobacteriaceae
Description: partial 23S ribosomal RNA
Rfam family: Bacterial large subunit ribosomal RNA
Source: RNAcentral